CAGGCUUAACACAUGCAAGUCGAGGGGCAGCAUGGUCUUAGCUUGCUAAGGCCGAUGGCGACCGGCGCACGGGUGAGUAACACGUAUCCAACCUGCCGUCUACUCUUGGACAGCCUUCUGAAAGGAAGAUUAAUACAAGAUGGCAUCAUGAGUCCGCAUGUUCACAUGAUUAAAGGUAUUCCGGUAGACGAUGGGGAUGCGUUCCAUUAGAUAGUAGGCGGGGUAACGGCCCACCUAGUCUUCGAUGGAUAGGGGUUCUGAGAGGAAGGUCCCCCACAUUGGAACUGAGACACGGUCCAAACUCCUACGGGAGGCAGCAGUGAGGAAUAUUGGUCAAUGGGCGAGAGCCUGAACCAGCCAAGUAGCGUGAAGGAUGACUGCCCUAUGGGUUGUAAACUUCUUUUAUAAAGGAAUAAAGUCGGGUAUGGAUACCCGUUUGCAUGUACUUUAUGAAUAAGGAUCGGCUAACUCCGUGCCAGCAGCCGCGGUAAUACGGAGGAUCCGAGCGUUAUCCGGAUUUAUUGGGUUUAAAGGGAGCGUAGAUGGAUGUUUAAGUCAGUUGUGAAAGUUUGCGGCUCAACCGUAAAAUUGCAGUUGAUACUGGAUAUCUUGAGUGCAGUUGAGGCAGGCGGAAUUCGUGGUGUAGCGGUGAAAUGCUUAGAUAUCACGAAGAACUCCGAUUGCGAAGGCAGCCUGCUAAGCUGCAACUGACAUUGAGGCUCGAAAGUGUGGAUAUCAAACAGGAUUAGAUACCCUGGUAGUCCACACGGUAAACGAUGAAUACUCGCUGUUUGCGAUAUACUGCAAGCGGCCAAGCGAAAGCGUUAAGUAUUCCACCUGGGGAGUACGCCGGCAACGGUGAAACUCAAAGGAAUUGACGGGGGCCCGCACAAGCGGAGGAACAUGUGGUUUAAUUCGAUGAUACGCGAGGAACCUUACCCGGGCUUAAAUUGCAGAUGAAUUACGGUGAAAGCCGUAAGCCGCAAGGCAUCUGUGAAGGUGCUGCAUGGUUGUCGUCAGCUCGUGCCGUGAGGUGUCGGCUUAAGUGCCAUAACGAGCGCAACCCUUGUUGUCAGUUACUAACAGGUUCCGCUGAGGACUCUGACAAGACUGCCAUCGUAGGAUGUGAGGAAGGUGGGGAUGACGUCAAAUCAGCACGGCCCUUACGUCCGGGGCUACACACGUGUUACAAUGGGGGGUACAGAGGGCCGCUACCACGCGAGUGGAUGCCAAUCCCCAAAACCUCUCUCAGUUCGGACUGGAGUCUGCAACCCGACUCCACGAAGCUGGAUUCGCUAGUAACCGCGCAUCAGCCACGGCGCGGUGAAUACGUUCCCGGGCCUUGUACACACCGCCCGUCAAGCCAUGGGAGCCGGGGGUACCUGAAGUGCGUAACCGCGAGGAGCGCCCUAGGGUAAAACUGGUGACUGGGGCUAAGU
RNAcentral lists this ribosomal RNA (1439 nucleotides) under uncultured organism. RNAcentral describes it as "16S ribosomal RNA". It matches the Rfam family "Bacterial small subunit ribosomal RNA". The record is from RNAcentral.